ACCGUUAUAACCGGCGAUUUCCGAAUGGGGAAACCCAGUGUGUUUCGACACACUAUCAUUAACUGAAUCCAUAGGUUAAUGAGGCGAACCGGGGGAACUGAAACAUCUAAGUACCCCGAGGAAAAGAAAUCAACCGAGAUUCCCCCAGUAGCGGCGAGCGAACGGGGAGGAGCCCAGAGCCUGAAUCAGUGUGUGUGUUAGUGGAAGCGUCUGGAAAGGCGCGCGAUACAGGGUGACAGCCCCGUACACAAAAAUGCACAUGCUGUGAGCUCGAUGAGUAGGGCGGGACACGUGGUAUCCUGUCUGAAUAUGGGGGGACCAUCCUCCAAGGCUAAAUACUCCUGACUGACCGAUAGUGAACCAGUACCGUGAGGGAAAGGCGAAAAGAACCCCGGCGAGGGGAGUGAAAAAGAACCUGAAACCGUGUACGUACAAGCAGUGGGAGCCUCUUAAUGGGGUGACUGCGUACCUUUUGUAUAAUGGGUCAGCGACUUAUAUUCUGUAGCAAGGUUAACCGAAUAGGGGAGCCGAAGGGAAACCGAGUCUUAACUGGGCGUUAAGUUGCAGGGUAUAGACCCGAAACCCGGUGAUCUAGCCAUGGGCAGGUUGAAGGUUGGGUAACACUAACUGGAGGACCGAACCGACUAAUGUUGAAAAAUUAGCGGAUGACUUGUGGCUGGGGGUGAAAGGCCAAUCAAACCGGGAGAUAGCUGGUUCUCCCCGAAAGCUAUUUAGGUAGCGCCUCGUGAAUUCAUCUCCGGGGGUAGAGCACUGUUUCGGCAAGGGGGUCAUCCCGACUUACCAACCCGAUGCAAACUGCGAAUACCGGAGAAUGUUAUCACGGGAGACACACGGCGGGUGCUAACGUCCGUCGUGAAGAGGGAAACAACCCAGACCGCCAGCUAAGGUCCCAAAGUCAUGGUUAAGUGGGAAACGAUGUGGGAAGGCCCAGACAGCCAGGAUGUUGGCUUAGAAGCAGCCAUCAUUUAAAGAAAGCGUAAUAGCUCACUGGUCGAGUCGGCCUGCGCGGAAGAUGUAACGGGGCUAAACCAUG
Molecule: ribosomal RNA, 1054 nt
Filed under: Escherichia coli
Lineage: Bacteria; Pseudomonadati; Pseudomonadota; Gammaproteobacteria; Enterobacterales; Enterobacteriaceae
Description: partial 23S ribosomal RNA
Rfam family: Bacterial large subunit ribosomal RNA
Source: RNAcentral